UGGGGAAUAUUGCACAAUGGGCGAAAGCCUGAUGCAGCAACGCCGCGUGAGUGAUGAAGGUCUUCGGAUUGUAAAGCUCUGUCUUUUGGGACGAUAAUGACGGUACCAAAGGAGGAAGCCACGGCUAACUACGUGCCAGCAGCCGCGGUAAUACGUAGGUGGCGAGCGUUGUCCGGAUUUACUGGGCGUAAAGGGUGCGUAGGCGGAUGUUUAAGUGAGAUGUGAAAUACCCGGGCUUAACUUGGGUGCUGCAUUUCAAACUGGAUAUCUAGAGUGCAGGAGAGGAGAAUGGAAUUCCUAGUGUAGCGGUGAAAUGCGUAGAGAUUAGGAAGAACACCAGUGGCGAAGGCGAUUCUCUGGACUGUAACUGACGCUGAGGCACGAAAGGCGUGGGUAGCAAAC
Molecule: ribosomal RNA, 402 nt
Filed under: uncultured bacterium
Lineage: Bacteria
Description: partial 16S ribosomal RNA
Rfam family: Bacterial small subunit ribosomal RNA
Source: RNAcentral